GCCCUUAACCAGGCAAAACUCGGCUUGGCGAUCGUCGCGCGCCUACCCAGGUCGCUCUCCUAAAGCGGGUGUCGCAGGUUCGAAUCCUGCCGGGGGCA
This 98-nucleotide transfer RNA is filed under the name Ornithinimicrobium pratense. Its description in RNAcentral is "Serinicoccus sp. W204 tRNA-Ser". The record is from RNAcentral. Lineage: Bacteria; Bacillati; Actinomycetota; Actinomycetes; Micrococcales; Ornithinimicrobiaceae.